This 484-nucleotide ribosomal RNA is filed under the name uncultured bacterium. Its description in RNAcentral is "partial 16S ribosomal RNA". It matches the Rfam family "Bacterial small subunit ribosomal RNA", at positions 28 to 523 of the family's 1533-position model. The record is from RNAcentral.
GACGAACGCUGGCGGCGUGCUUAACACAUGCAAGUCGAACGAUGAAGCCGGAGCUUGCUCUGGUGAAUUAGUGGCGAACGGGUGAGUAACACGUGAGUAACCUGCCCUUGACUCUGGGAUAACUGCGGGAAACUGUAGCUAAUACCGGAUACGACCCUCGGAGGCAUCUCCUGGGGGUGGAAAGAAUUUCGGUCAAGGAUGGACUCGCGGCCUAUCAGCUAGUUGGUGAGGUAAAGGCUCACCAAGGCGACGACGGGUAGCCGGCCUGAGAGGGUGACCGGCCACAGGGGGACUGAGACACGGCCCAGACUCCUACGGGAGGCAGCAGUGGGGAAUAUUGCACAAUGGGCGCAAGCCUGAUGCAGCAACGCCGCGUGGGGGAUGACGGCCUUCGGGUUGUAAACCUCUUUUAGCAGGGAAGAAGCGAAAGUGACGGUACCUGCAGAAAAAGCACCGGCUAACUACGUGCCAGCAGCCGCCGUAA